GCCUGGCUGGCUCAGUUGGUAGAGCCUCUGGCUCUUAAUCUCAGGGUCAUGAGUUCAAGCCCCAUGUUGGGCA
Molecule: transfer RNA, 73 nt
Filed under: Canis lupus familiaris (dog)
Lineage: Eukaryota; Metazoa; Chordata; Mammalia; Carnivora; Canidae
Also listed under: 1 other name
Rfam family: tRNA
About the family: Transfer RNA (tRNA) molecules are approximately 80 nucleotides in length. Their secondary structure includes four short double-helical elements and three loops (D, anti-codon, and T loops).
Source: Rfam by way of RNAcentral